UAAGAUCUCCAGUUGGAGACAAGAGUACCAAUCCUUGUUCGACACAUUUAAUAACUUUCCAGCAGCUUUGCACUCCCGUGGUUGUUUUUGGUAGACAGAGUUUUAAGCAAUUUUUACCGUAGCUUACAUUUGCUGUGGUACUCUUGACGUUGUUACAAUAAUCACAUAAUCACAUUAUUUGUUGUAUUUGGGGCAAUUUUUUUGGCGGGCAUACUUCUGUAGGUUGGGCACAGACAUAGACAAUACUACUACCUGCUUGUGCCAUCUUGUCUUGUAUGGUAUGUGUUCAAUUUUAUCUGUGGCUCG
RNAcentral lists this long non-coding RNA (306 nucleotides) under Triticum aestivum (bread wheat). RNAcentral describes it as "long non-coding RNA (TAES_LNC016925)". The record is from RNAcentral. Lineage: Eukaryota; Viridiplantae; Streptophyta; Magnoliopsida; Poales; Poaceae.